This is a non-coding RNA of Pelobates cultripes (western spadefoot toad), 552 nucleotides long. Lineage: Eukaryota; Metazoa; Chordata; Amphibia; Anura; Pelobatidae. The record is from the annotation of a GenBank genome assembly.
GAUUUCUGGUAAAAAUCAGCAUAUCACAAUAUAGUCUCAGCCCGGACUGUGAAGCUUCCAGAUGUUCCUUCUGAUGAGUAGACAAAUGGGACAGCCGAAAAACUAUAUAACACUUACAAGGUGGCCACCUAGUAAUCAGCACAAGUUAGAAUGUGGGCAACUCGGCAGUCAUUGCGCAGGCACUUUGGUGACUCUAGAUAACCUUGGGCCAAUCACACGUCCGCGUGACGGCAAUGACGCAUUCGGAUGUCUGCCAUAUCAACUUUCAAAGGUACUUUCUGUGCUUACCAUGGUGACCACGGGUAAAGGGGAAUCAGGGUUCGAUUCCAGAGAGGGAGCCUGAGAAACGGCUACAACAUCAAAGGAAGGCAGCAGGCACGCAAAUUACCCACUUCCGACGCAGGGAGGUAGUGACGAAAAAUAACAAUACAGGACUGUUUCGAGGCCCUGUAAAUGAAAUAAGUACACUUUAAAUCCUUUAACGAGGAUCUAUUGGAGGGCAAGUCUGGUGCAGAGCGACUGACCCGUGCGUGCUGCAGCUGAAACUCCACU